This 430-nucleotide ribosomal RNA is filed under the name uncultured bacterium. Its description in RNAcentral is "partial 16S ribosomal RNA". It matches the Rfam family "Bacterial small subunit ribosomal RNA", at positions 29 to 506 of the family's 1533-position model. The record is from RNAcentral.
AACGAACGCUGGCGGCAGGCUUAACACAUGCAAGUCGAGCGCCCCGCAAGGGGAGCGGCAGACGGGUGAGUAACGCGUGGGAACGUACCUUUUGGUUCGGAACAACUCCGGGAAACUGGAGCUAAUACCGGAUAAGCCCUAACGGGGAAAGAUUUAUCGCCGAAAGAUCGGCCCGCGUCUGAUUAGCUAGUUGGUGAGGUAACGGCUCACCAAGGCGACGAUCAGUAGCUGGUCUGAGAGGAUGAUCAGCCACACUGGGACUGAGACACGGCCCAGACUCCUACGGGAGGCAGCAGUGGGGAAUAUUGGACAAUGGGCGCAAGCCUGAUCCAGCCAUGCCGCGUGAGUGAUGAAGGCCUUAGGGUUGUAAAGCUCUUUUGUCCGGGAAGAUAAUGACUGUACCGGAAGAAUAAACCCCGGCUAACUUCGU